This 1818-nucleotide ribosomal RNA is filed under the name Opisthonecta sp. FG-2015. Its description in RNAcentral is "LSU rRNA". It matches the Rfam family "Eukaryotic large subunit ribosomal RNA", at positions 23 to 1849 of the family's 3401-position model. Lineage: Eukaryota; Ciliophora; Oligohymenophorea; Sessilida; Opisthonectidae. The record is from RNAcentral.
ACCCGCUGAACUUAAGCAUAUCAGUAAGCGGAGGAAAAGAAAAUAACAAUGAUUACCUUAGUAGCGGCGAGUGAAUAGGUAAAAGCCCAAGAUGUUAAUCUGGUAUAAAGUACUAGAAUUGUAAUCUAUGGAGUAGCUCGGAAGGUGGAGACUCAUCAUAAGUGCCUUGGAAAAGGACGCCAGAGAAGGUGAAAGCCCUGUCUUAGGAUGAGUCGAAGCGAUACGAGAUAUUUCUAAGAGUCGGGUAGUUUGGGAAUGCUGCCCUAAUUGGGAGGUAAACUUCUCCUAAGGCUAAAUAUUUAUUGGAGACCGAUAGCAUACAAGUACUGCGAAGGAAAGAUGAAAAGAACUUUGAAAAGAGGGUUAAAAGACUUGAAAUCGUUGAAAAGGAAGCGAUAGAAGAGAAAUGAUUCCCUGUCAAGUAGUCAAUUGAGCUAAGUUACGCGGUGGAGAAUAUCUAACAGAGUUCUUGCCGUGGAACGAAAAUCAAGUGGCGGUUGGCAGGUGAAAGGCAAGAUGAGGUGGGCUUGCAAGAAUAAGGCGAAGAGUGUAUUCUCGAACCAGAAGUUGCAAGCCUGCCUGAGGGAUCAGAUGAUGAUCUUGCCAAAAUGGCUUUUAUCGACCCGUCUUGAAACACGGACCAAGGAGUCUACCUAUUAUGCGAGUGUUAAGGUGGAGAAACCUAAACGCGUACCGAAAGGGAUGUAAGAUGUGAGGCGCAAGCUGCAACAUCAACCAAUCUUGACUCUAUGAGGAAGGACUUGAGUAAGAGCAUAAUCGGUAGGACCCGAAAGAUGGUGAACUACGGUUGAAUAGGGCGAAGCCAGGGGAAACUCUGGUGGAGGCUCGAAGCGGUACUGACGUGCAAAUCGUUCGUCAAAUUUGACUGUAGGGGCGAAAGACUAAUCGAACCAUCUAGUAGCUGGUUCCCUCUGAAAUUUCUCUCAGGAUAGCAGGAACAGAUCAUGCAGUUUUAUCAGGUAAAGCUAAUGAUUAGUGGACUCGGGGGCCCCGUGCCCUUGACCAAUUCUCAAACUUUAAAUUGGUAAGAACUUCAAGUUAUCUUAAUUGAACUUGGAGAAGGAAUGCGUUGUUCUUAGUGGGCCAUUUUUGGUAAGCAGAACUGGCGAUGAGGGAUGAACCUAACGUCGAGCUAAGGUGCCCAAAUUCACGCUCAUCAGACACCAUAAAAGGUGUUGGUUAGUAUAAACAGCCGGACUGUGGCCAUGGAAGUCGGCACCAGCUAAGGAGUGUGUAACAACUCACCAGCCGAAUUAACCAGCCCUGAAAAUUGAUGGCGCUAAGCGUGAUACCGAUACUCGACCAACAGGGCAAAUAGAAGCCUUGUUGAGUAAGAGGGCGUGAACAUUGUGUAGAAGGCUUGGACGUGAGUCUGGCUGGAACAAUGUUUAGUGCAGAUCUUGGUGGUAGUAGCAAAUAUUCAAAUGAGAACUUUGAAGACCGAAGUGGAGAAGGGUUCCAUGAGAACAGCAUUUGAUCAUGGGUUACUCGAUCCUAAGACAUAGGGAAAUUCCUUGUAAUAUAUGGGUUCUUACGAAUCCAUUGUCAAAAGGGAAUGAGGUUGAUAUUCCUCAAGCUGAAUGCGGAGGUUUCGUGGCAACACAAACAAGCUUGGAGACAUCGGCGUGUGCAACUGGAAGAGUUAUCUUUUCUUCUUAACAAUCUAUCUCCCUGAAUGGAUUAUCCAAAGCUAGGGAUGUAUGGUUGGCAGAGCAGUUCACCAUCGAACUGUCAGUGAUGCUCAUGACGAUCCUUGAAAAUCCAAGUACGGUGAUCCUCUCGCAUCAGGUCGUACCC